This 342-nucleotide ribosomal RNA is filed under the name Triticum aestivum (bread wheat). Its description in RNAcentral is "partial small subunit ribosomal RNA". Lineage: Eukaryota; Viridiplantae; Streptophyta; Magnoliopsida; Poales; Poaceae. The record is from RNAcentral.
AUGAUCAUCUUUCAUUCUUCGACCAUUAACUUCAUGAUAUUCCUAUGCAUGGGUCUCCGUCAAGUUAAUUCACACACCAUGAAAGAGCAAUUGAAAGCAAGCAGGGUUAAGAUCUUGGCUGCCUUGCUGGUCUUCUCCAUGCUUACUCAAGGCAUGGCGGUUCGCGUCAAGGGGGUGGUGAGGAAUGGCAUCACCGAUGAGGCUGUCAGCGCAAAAACCACCCUCGGUGCAGGCAGCAGCACAGCCGUCAACAACCACCAUGCAAUCCCACGGGACCAGUAUAGUAGCCAUGGAGGAGAGGAUGGAUCAGGUGGCAGUGGUGGUGAUACUACAAAGAACUAG